This 69-nucleotide transfer RNA is filed under the name Ochthebius viridis. RNAcentral's name for it is "tRNA-Gln". The record is from RNAcentral. Lineage: Eukaryota; Metazoa; Arthropoda; Insecta; Coleoptera; Hydraenidae.
UAUACUUUAGUAUAAGAUGUACAAAAGUUUUUGAUACUUUAAGAAAUAGUUUGAUUCUAUUAAGUAUAA